GAUGAAGAACGUAGCGAAAGUGCGAAACGUAAUGUGAAUUGCAGAAUUCAGUGAAUCAUCGAAUCUUUGAACGCACAUUGCGCCCGUCAGUAUUCUGGCGGGCAUGCCUGUUCGAGCGUCAUUACGCCCCUCAAGUCCCCUGUGGACUUGGUGUUGGGGAUCGGCGAGGCUGGUUUUCCAGCACAGCCGUCCCUUAAAUUAAUUGGCGGUCUCGCCGUGGCCCUCCUCUGCGCAGUAGUAAAACACUCGCAACAGGAGCCCGGCGCGGUCCACUGCCGUAAAACCCCCCAACUUUUUAUAGUUGACCUCGAAUCAGGUAGGACUACCCGCUGAACUUAAGCAUAUCAAUAAGCGGAGGA
Molecule: unclassified non-coding RNA, 359 nt
Filed under: soil metagenome
Description: partial contains 5.8S ribosomal RNA, internal transcribed spacer 2, and large subunit ribosomal RNA
Rfam family: 5.8S ribosomal RNA (bases 1-121)
Source: RNAcentral